Molecule: ribosomal RNA, 253 nt
Filed under: uncultured bacterium
Lineage: Bacteria
Description: partial 16S ribosomal RNA
Rfam family: Bacterial small subunit ribosomal RNA
Source: RNAcentral
UACGAACCGAGCGAACGUUGUUCGGAAUCACUGGGCUUAAAGGGCGCGUAGGCGGGCUGUCAAGUCUGGGGUGAAAUCCCGCGGCUCAACCGUGGAACUGCCUCAGAUACUGACGGCCUCGAGGGAGGUAGGGGCGAGCGGAACUGUGAGUGGAGCGGUGAAAUGCGUUGAUAUUCACAGGAACUCCGGUGGCGAAGGCGGCUCGCUGGACCUCUUCUGACGCUGAGGCGCGAAAGCUAGGGGAGCAAACGGG